UAUGAUAAAAAAGAAUUAUUUUUGUUCGGUGUAAAGGAUAGUAUAAGUAUCAACUUUUCGUCUUGAUGAUCACUUUGGGCAAGGAUAGUAAUACGUUGUGCGAGUACGCACUAGGAGGCAACAAAAAUGGAACAAGGUACAGUUAAAUGGUUUAAUGCAGAAAAAGGUUUCGGAUUCAUCGAGCGCGAAGGUGGAGACGACGUAUUCGUACACUUCUCUGCUAUCCAAAGUGAAGGCUUCAAAUCUUUAGACGAAGGUCAAAAAGUUACAUUUGACGUGGAGCAAGGCGCUCGUGGAGCCCAAGCUGCAAACGUUCAAAAAGCUUAAUCUUAAAUCGAUUAUAUAAAACAGGCUCUCUUUAGAGCCUGUUUUUUU
RNAcentral lists this non-coding RNA (375 nucleotides) under Mesobacillus subterraneus. RNAcentral describes it as "Bacillus subterraneus cspA thermoregulator". It matches the Rfam family "cspA thermoregulator", at positions 140 to 428 of the family's 428-position model. The record is from Rfam by way of RNAcentral. Lineage: Bacteria; Bacillati; Bacillota; Bacilli; Caryophanales; Bacillaceae.